CAGGUGUGCAAAGAGUGGGUAGGUGAUCAGAAGAAGAGGGGGUGCACUAGGGGAAAACGCGGGGGAGGUACUAAAGAGUGGGUGGCCUGGUGGCGACGUACUACCACGUCGGCGUCGGUGGCGUGUGGUGCAUGGAGAGGGUUGGUAGUACGUCGUUGGAGGUGCCGGCCUUAUGAUCUGUAGCCUCGGAGGAGAGAGGGUGCGUAUAGGAUCCGCCAGUUGCGCUCGAGCGGUGCGUGGGAGCAGGAGCUGCCAGCGUCCGCAACGUUGCAUCGUUGAGUAGGGGUCUUCGGCACGACGCUACGUUGGAACCGCAGCCGGUGACCUCAACGUUCAGCACCCGCCGCCUCGAAGUUACCUCGCGAGCGGCCGCGAGAGUUGCGUUGCGAGUAGUCGCCGACGUCACUUCAAGUCCGCCUCAACGUUUCGUCGAAGCUGCCUCGGUAGCGGGCAGCCUCGAGACGGUCCCGACGUUAAUUCUAGCUGGCCUCUACGUUUCGUCGAAGCAGCCUCGGCAGCCUCGAGACGGCCUCGACGUUACUUCGAGCCGGCCUCAACGUUACCUCGAAGCGGCCUCGCAGCCUCGAGACGGCCCCGACGUUACUUCGAGCUGGCCUCAACGUUACCUCGAAGCGGCCUCACAGCCACGACGCAACCUCGAGGCGGCUUCAACGUUAUCUCGAAGCAGCCUCGCAGCUACGGCGCAACCUCGAGGCGGCCCCGACGUUACCUCGGCCGGCCUUAACGUCACCUCGAGCAGCCUGCCGCAGCCACUACCAACCUCGUGGCGUGUCACGACGUUACGGUGUAGCAACUUCAACAGCACUACAUGACGACGGCACCGCAACAACACCAGUUUGCCGGAUCGUGCGACUAGCCUGCCGACUUGUCCGCCUACGACUAAACAUCAUUGCGGGAUUUUUUUACGAGAUGCUCGCUCCGUACUCUUAUCCUUCUAAACCGGAGGUCGUCAUGGGCUAAGCCGUCUCGGUUUGUGUUGGAUGUUCGGCUUUGGCGGUGUGGAGUGGGUAUAGUUUGAGGUUGCUAGAGGAGCAUCGUAGAGUUUGUUUUUUGUUAGAGGAGGAGCCUGGACGAUACCGCAGGCAGCGUAAUUUCGAGAGUGCCAAGCGACCCUGCCGGCGGUUAAGGCCGGCGAAGAGAGAAGCGAAUGCGUCGGCGCUAGAGUGACCUCUAUAGUGGUAAUGGCGGGCCAGCGCUGGCAGUGAAUCUAGGUGUUUGAGGCGGCGGCGGAGUUGGUCGGGGAGCCUGAAGAAGGAGGCCGCGUGGUAGCGAUGCGAGGGGAGGCCACUCCUUAGGGGAAACUGACAGCCGCGGCGUCGUCUACUGGAGCUCCUACUCAAGGCGGGACCAUUAGUUAGUUAGAGCCAUAAGAAAUGUGUAGAACCCACCGUCGUGUUUAAUGUCAAAAGCAAAGACACUACUGCGUUCUGGGCCUGUGGCAAGGGAUGAAGCUGCUCUUCCUGGAGCAGAGCCUACUUUGGGACACCCGAGACAUGCUCGCCACCACGGCGAAGGUAUCUUACCGCGCGCUGGUGCUGCUCUACUGAGCCGCUAAACCAGCAAAGUUCAAGUUCCGCGCCGUACAGAUGCUUAAGUUGUUUAGGCCAUCCUCGAUGUGGUUCCCCGAGUGGGUCAAGAGGCUAAACCUCGGUCCCCUCAAGAAGCGGGGAGCAGCGACAGGGUCCUGAGUGUCUUGACCAUGAGCAAAGAAGUGGUUGCUGUCUCUACUCCAGUGCCGCUAGACAUGACUGCCCACAGAGCUUUGUAUGCUCCCGGGGCAAACCUAUUAGGCAUUACAAUUCGUUUGGAUUUCUUUGCCAACAUGUGCGAUCGUCAUUUAUGCUAACGAUAACAUUAGACGGACGGUAAACCUACGUUUCCUUUACAUACGAACGAUCUACCAUUAGUUACACAACUUGGGGCUCGACUUGUGUUUUACGCUUUAUUUAGACGAUUCUUGGCAUUGUUUAGACGGCCUCCGCGGAGGGAAACCGUUCCAUCGGUAGUCGAUACCGCUGUUGCUCCUUCUAUGGCGAAGGUUUGAGGUCCAGCGGGCAUAUCGGGAUCGACAACAGCCGGAAGGGGUGGCAAAUGGGUUGUAACCACCUCCAACGGCAACUGUUUCCGUUUCGGGAGCACCGGUAACUCCUACCACGACUACCCCGUAAGGGCAGUACGAAGCAAAACCCAGAACCACGAGGUCUAGAUCAGCACACUACUACGUUACCUAAGACCCCAGUAGCUGUCUCUACCCUACACACCAGUACGAAGACCAGCAAAGGGCCACACGAGCGCAGGAAAAGAUCAGUAGGGUGGUAUAGGGAAGGGUAGAGCCGGAAGAGACGGGCUAGGUUGCACCAAGGAAGUCUAAAUCACCAGGGCAGAGGACAGUCGAGUAGAUACAGGUAGUAAACCGGAAACAGCAACCAACACCGACCGAACAACCAGCAACCUCAGAUCUACAGAAAACGAACACUGCCACACCAGCACAUGCCCCCAAGACGGAGAAGAAGCAGGGGCUACCAAGACGGGGAACAACGAUCAACACCAACCGCAGCAGAAACGAUGAACACGCACGGAGGAUGAAGGGUACCAAGUACAAAAGGGCAGGGUACUUGGAGGAGGAUAACACACCCACCACCGACCAUACCGCUGCAAUCCGAACACCAGAACACCGAGUAACUGCAGCACGGAUGCGCAUACGUUCACCACAAGUGAGUUAUGAUCACCACCUUAGCAAGGAUACAACG
This 2771-nucleotide ribosomal RNA is filed under the name Triticum aestivum (bread wheat). RNAcentral describes it as "partial small subunit ribosomal RNA". The record is from RNAcentral. Lineage: Eukaryota; Viridiplantae; Streptophyta; Magnoliopsida; Poales; Poaceae.